Girardinichthys multiradiatus is the source of this 190-nucleotide long non-coding RNA. RefSeq lists it as uncharacterized. The record is from RefSeq and is a predicted model, not a curated record. NCBI's taxonomy places the organism in Eukaryota, Metazoa, Chordata, Actinopteri, Cyprinodontiformes, Goodeidae. The transcript has 3 exons.
GGCAGUUUCACACCUGUUUGUUUUUUCCUCUCCAUGCAUCUUUAAAGGAGAUGAAGUUUCACCAGAAUCUCUACUGUCAUCCUCUCAAGGACUCCAGUACCUGAGCGUAGCCCUGACCCUAAGACCUCUGACCCCACCUGCCAGGUCAUUCUCAUGCCACCUUAACCUGCACUGAAACCAGAGAGCGCUG